AUUGAACGCUGGCGGCAUGCUUUACACAUGCAAGUCGAACGGUAACAGGCCGCAAGGUGCUGACGAGUGGCGAACGGGCGAGUAAUGCAUCGGAACGUGCCCAGUCGUGGGGGAUAACUACUCGAAAGAGUAGCUAAUACCUCAUACGAUCUAUGGAUGAAAGCGGGGGACCGUAAGGCCUCGCGCGAUUGGAGCGGCCGAUGUCAGAUUAGGUAGUUGGUGGGGUAAAGGCUCACCAAGCCAACGAUCUGUAGCUGGUCUGAGAGGACGACCAGCCACACUGGGACUGAGACACGGCCCAGACUCCUACGGGAGGCAGCAGUGGGGAAUUUUGGACAAUGGGCGCAAGCCUGAUCCAGCAAUGCCGCGUGCAGGAAGAAGGCCUUCGGGUUGUAAACUGCUUUUGUACGGAACGAAACGGCUCUGGUUAAUACCCGGGGCUAAUGACGGUACCGUAAGAAUAAGCACCGGCUAACUACGUG
This 482-nucleotide ribosomal RNA is filed under the name uncultured bacterium. Its description in RNAcentral is "partial 16S ribosomal RNA". It matches the Rfam family "Bacterial small subunit ribosomal RNA", at positions 30 to 507 of the family's 1533-position model. The record is from RNAcentral.